Long non-coding RNA from Neogobius melanostomus (round goby), 3032 nucleotides. The record is from Ensembl. Lineage: Eukaryota; Metazoa; Chordata; Actinopteri; Gobiiformes; Gobiidae.
GUAGCUGAGGGAUUAUCCUUUGCCUCUUUUCGGAGAGGCCCCAUGCUAUGGAAGACUAUUGGCACCUUAAUUCAAUUGUCUAUUCAUUUGUCAAAUGGCUAUGCAUUAUGUUAUUUUUGUAUUAUUUUGGCGUUGUGUUUGGCAAAGUGUAAUGUUAUAUCCAAUUUUGACAUUUAAUGUUCUAUUCCAAAAGUUCUAAUGGCAAUUCAAUAUGUAAAGUGUCGAUACAAUGUCUUUAUAUAUUUCAAAUUACAAGAUUUUGAAAUGAAUAGCAUAUUGACAUGGAAAUUUGGCCUCUUUAUUCAUUGUUCUAUUCAUUCUUAAAAUGGCAUUUAGUUUGGAGUUGUUUUUGGCAAAGUUGAAUGUCAUAUCUUAUUUUGACUUGUAAUAUUCUAUUAAGUUUCAUUUAAUGUGUUGUGAAACAGCACCUCCCUCUGGAUUGCAUUGCAUAUUGCAUAUUGCAUUGCCACAUGGUUUGAGUGCAACUUAAUUCAAUAUGCUAUGCAGUUCUUGACCCCUGGGAAGGCGGGCCCUGGUCCGCUCUCGGCCAAUCAGAGACGAGUCUAUAUCCUCCUAGCUAGAUGCGCUGUGUUGUUGAUUUUGCUGGAAGUAAAUGCUGUUCUGACGGAUUGGAAGUAACAGAUCACCCUUCAUGAAGAUUCCAAGUUACUCUAAGGAGGUUCUAUGGCCCAGAAGACAGACCACCUGUGCGGACAACAGCCUGCUGCCAUCUUCAUCCAGUCACCUCAGCGCUGUUGACAUGAUCACAUUCAUAAUUUUCCACAAAUUCUAACAAAUUAGUUAUUAAUUAAAUGCAGACCAUCUUUGCAUCUCUCAAUUUAAUAUUUAUUUACAAGAAGCUCCUGACAACACAACGGGUUCAACCCAGCUCCUCUGCGACAUUCUCCUAGCCUUCGUUCCUCUGGACCGCUCCUGUACCACACAGCUGCUUCUUGGGGUUGCAGAGAAGAAUGAUUCCACCAUACAAGAAGAAUCUAAUUGGCCAGUCUAAAAAGUUCUACCGUCUCUUCAUAUUCAGAUGUUGUACGGUCUCUUCAUAGCGGCAUCUGGAAUGUAGAUGGUUAUAAAUGAUUAAAUAAAUAAAUAAAACAAUGUGUUGUGAUGUGUGUGCUUAUCAGCACAAACAUGCUCCAGUUGUCCAGGUGCCUGGGUAAGACAGAGUUUGUGCCUGAAUAACUUAGGUAUUACUGAUGUACUGUGAAAUCUCAUGAUGCUUUCUAGAUGCUGUUAGUACCACUAUUAUAAUCACCCCUGCCUGUAUCCGGAAUGUAAACUAAUUUUGAAUAUGGGGGUAGGCGCUUAUAAGCUUUCUUGCUUCGGCCUACUCCUUUUGAGUUUUUGUUACUUUAUUAUUUUCUGCACAGCAGCAAUGUUAAUGUAAAUAAUUACUCAGAUAAAUCCAAUCAAUCAACAUCGGUAGUAACAGAUUAGAUUUGUUACACAACUCUGAUCUAAAAUACAGAAUAGUACUUAGCCUCAUGUUUUUACAGAUGUAGUAUUUUGUCGUCACGUUAUUUAAUCUGAUCAUCAGGUUAACUGCACUGAAGAGUGUGAGAAUAGAAAUUAACAUGAGCAUACAAUAAAGUAUAGUUUAAUAAUUAAAACAAAAACGCGUGCCACCACGUUUGGUUUAGUGUAAGUAUUCUGCCUUUACUAGUGUGUGAGAACCAGCUUUGCAGAUAGAACAGUCUCUAAUGAAAACCAAGAAGCGUCUUGCUGUAUUUGUGUGAUUUACUGAAGCACUUUAAAACUGUAACAUACAGUUACACAACGAAUGCAUAUUACAAUCUCAAUUGGGUAAAUAUACAAUGCAAAUAGAAAAUAAGUAGCUUAGAGUUAACUAAAACCUUCAAAAAACGAUUGUAUUAGCGAGCUAUUAGCACGAAGCUAAUUUACAUGGGAAAAGCCAUAGGGGUGCCAACGUUAUUAGCGCCGAAUAUUUUCUUCCUAAUUACGAAUAGGAAACAUGCUAAAAUUACUGCAUUUGGUAUCUAAUGGAAGCUAAGAUCACUAUCAUUUGAAUACUUACAGACAGAUAUUUUUGUGGGUCAAAAUAAAAUGUAAGAAGCUGAAACACUGGAGUUUGACUUUCUGUGGGACUGCUGAGCAUGACUGAACUAGGUAGCAAGUGUUUUCUAAAAAAAGAAGAAAAAAACACACUAAACAGUACUGGUAUUUUAACAAACACGCUUCUAUACUUACAUAGAACCUCCUUAGAGUAACUUGGAAUCUUCAUGAAGGGUGAUCUGUUACUUCCAAUCCGUCAGAACAGCAUUUACUUCCAGCAAAAAUCAACAACACAGCGCAUCUAGCUAGGAGGAUAUAGACUCGUCUCUGAUUGGCCGAGAGCGGACCAGGGCCCGCCUUCCCAGGGGUCAAGAACUGCAUAGCAUAUUGAAUUAAGUUCCACAAACCAUGUGGCAAUGCAAUAUGCAAUAUGCAAUGCAAUCCAGAGGGAGGUGCUGUUUCACAACACAUUAAAUGAAACUUAAUAGAAUAUUACAAGUCAAAAUAAGAUAUGACAUUCAACUUUGCCAAAAACAACUCCAAACUAAAUGCCAUUUUAAGAAUGAAUAGAACAAUGAAUAAAGAGACCAAAUUUCCAUGUCAAUAUGCUAUUCAUUUCAAAAUCGUGUAAUUUGAAAUAUAUAAAGAGAUUGACUCGACACUUUACAUAUUGAAUUGCCAUUAGAACUUUUGGAAUAGGACAUUACAAGUCAAAAUAGGAUAUAACAUUACACUUUGCCAAACACAACGCCAAAAUAAAUACAAAAAUAACAUAAUGCAUAGCCAUUUGACAAAUGAAUAGACAAUUGAAUUAAGGUGCCAAUAGUCUUCCAUACCAUGCCCCCCGCAGUGAAAGUGACCUGUAGCCUUUCUUUGCGUGUGACUACAACUCAGCUAACAAAUCUUAAAUGCUAGAUCAUUAUGAUAGAAGUUUUCCUCAGAUGCACAGGCUGCAGAGGGAUUAGCGCACGGGAGCGGAGUGGCGACGCAAAUGUCAGGUGAGC